AGCGAACGCUGGCGGCAGGCCUAACACAUGCAAGUCGAACGGAUCCUUCGGGAUUAGUGGCGGACGGGUGAGUAACACGUGGGAACGUGCCCUUUGGUUCGGAACAACUCAGGGAAACUUGAGCUAAUACCGGAUGUGCCCUUCGGGGGGAAGAUUUAUCGCCAUUGGAGCGGCCCGCGUCUGAUUAGCUAGUUGGUGAGGUAACGGCCCACCAAGGCGACGAUCAGUAGCUGGUCUGAGAGGAUGAUCAGCCACACUGGGACUGAGACACGGCCCAGACUCCUACGGGAGGCAGCAGUGGGGAAUCUUGCGCAAUGGGCGAAAGCCUGACGCAGCCAUGCCGCGUGAAUGAUGAAGGUCUUAGGAUUGUAAAAUUCUUUCAGCGGGGACGAUAAUGACGGUACCCGCAGAAGAAGCUCCGGCUAACUUCGUG
RNAcentral lists this ribosomal RNA (433 nucleotides) under uncultured bacterium. Its description in RNAcentral is "partial 16S ribosomal RNA". It matches the Rfam family "Bacterial small subunit ribosomal RNA", at positions 29 to 507 of the family's 1533-position model. The record is from RNAcentral.